AUGCUGGAUCGCCUCACCCUCCAUGACGAUGAACUAGAUGACCUUGUCUGGGAAGAUGAACCUGACACUGAAGAAGUAAGGCCCAAGUGGUUGGCUCUAUGCCGCCUCCUGACAUCCAAAUCCUUUAGCCAGAGCGCUCUGAUCGGGGAUAUGAAGGCUGCAUGGAACCCGGCUCAGCCGGUGGUGUGGCGGAGGAUAAACUCAAACUUGUUUUCCAUACAGUUCAACUGUCUUGGUGACUGGAAUAAGGCUAUGCACAAGGGUCCUUGGGAUUUUAAUGGCUAUGCUGUAAUCCUGGCUGAAUAUGAUGGCUUCUCAAAGCCGGAGAAAGUGAAGCUUGAUAGGUUGGAAACUUGGGCUCAAAUCCAUCAAUUGCCAGACCUAGCUAGUUCUAAAAAGCAAGGGUUUCCUGGAAAACUUAGCGCGGCGAAUUGGCGAGGUGCAAGAAGUUCAAGUUACUCUGCCUAA
RNAcentral lists this ribosomal RNA (468 nucleotides) under Triticum aestivum (bread wheat). RNAcentral describes it as "partial small subunit ribosomal RNA". The record is from RNAcentral. Lineage: Eukaryota; Viridiplantae; Streptophyta; Magnoliopsida; Poales; Poaceae.